This 395-nucleotide ribosomal RNA is filed under the name uncultured bacterium. RNAcentral's name for it is "bacterial SSU rRNA". It matches the Rfam family "Bacterial small subunit ribosomal RNA", at positions 28 to 423 of the family's 1533-position model. The record is from RNAcentral.
GACGAACGCUGGCGGCGUGCUUAACACAUGCAAGUCGAGCGGUAAGGCCCUUUCGGGGGUACGACGAGCGGCGAACGGGUGAGUAACACGUGGGUGACCUGCCCUUAGCUCUGGGAUAAGCCUGGGAAACUAGGGUCUAAUACCGGAUAUGACUCCAUGACGCAUGUUGUGGGGUGGAAAGCCUUGUGCGGCUAGGGAUGGGCCCGCGGCCUAUCAGCUUGUUGGUGGGGUGAUGGCCUACCAAGGCGACGACGGGUAGCCGGCCUGAGAGGGCGACCGGCCACACUGGGACUGAGACACGGCCCAGACUCCUACGGGAGGCAGCAGUGGGGAAUCUUGCACAAUGGGCGAAAGCCUGACGCAGCGACGCCGCGUGGGGAUGACGGCCUCGGUGU